This 346-nucleotide unclassified non-coding RNA is filed under the name soil metagenome. Its description in RNAcentral is "partial contains 5.8S ribosomal RNA, internal transcribed spacer 2, and large subunit ribosomal RNA". The stretch from base 1 to 119 matches the Rfam family "5.8S ribosomal RNA", at positions 35 to 154 of the family's 154-position model. The record is from RNAcentral.
GAUGAAGAACGCAGCGAAAUGCGAUACGUAAUGUGAAUUGCAAAUUCAGUGAAUCAUCGAGUCUUUGAACGCACAUUGCGCCCCCUGGUAUUCCGGGGGGCAUGCCUGUCCGAGCGUCAUUGCUGCCCUCAAGCACGGCUUGUGUGUUGGGCCCCUUCCUCCGAUCCCGGGGGACGGGCCCGAAAGGCAGCGGCGGCACCGCGUCCGGUCCUCGAGCGUAUGGGGCUUUGUCACCCGCUCUGUAGGCCCGGCCGGCGCUUGCCGAUCAACCCAAAUUUUUUAUCCAGGUUGACCUCGGAUCAGGUAGGGAUACCCGCUGAACUUAAGCAUAUCAAUAAGCGGAGGA